AACGCACAUUGCGCCCCGUGGUAUUCCGCGGGGCAUGCCUGUUCGAGCGUCAUUUCACCACUCGAGUCUGACUCGGUAUUGGGCGCCGCGAUCCGUCGCGCGCCUCAAAGUUUCCGGCUGGGCGACCCGUCUCCGAGCGUUGUGGCAUCAAGUCUCGCUAGGGAGUCGCGGGUGGCGUUGGCCGUUAAACACCCCAUCAAAGGUUGACCUCGGAUCAGGUAGGGAUACCCGCUGAACUUAA
This 241-nucleotide unclassified non-coding RNA is filed under the name uncultured Mycosphaerellaceae. RNAcentral describes it as "sequence contains ITS2". The stretch from base 1 to 52 matches the Rfam family "5.8S ribosomal RNA", at positions 103 to 154 of the family's 154-position model. The record is from RNAcentral. Lineage: Eukaryota; Fungi; Ascomycota; Dothideomycetes; Mycosphaerellales; Mycosphaerellaceae.